GACCAUCUCAGGGGAUGGGACCAUCUCAGAGGCCUGGACCAUCUCUGGGGCGUGGACCAUCUCAGAGUCCAGGACCAUCUCAGGGGCCUGGAUCAUCUCAGGGACCAGGACCAUCUCAGGGGCCUGGACCAUCUCAGGGCCUGGAUGAUCUCAGGGACAUGGACCAUCUCAGGGCAUGUAACAUCUCAGGGGCCUGGACCAUCUCAGAGGCUGGGACCGUCUCAGGGCCUGGACCAUCUCGGUGACCUGGACCAUCUCAGGGACCUGGAUCAUCUCAGAGGCUGGGACCAUCUCAGGGGCCUGGACCAUCUUAGUGACCUGGACCAUCCAGGGACCUGGACCAUCUCAGGGGCCUGAACCAUCUCAGGGACUGGACUAUCUCAGGGACCUGGACCAUCUCAGUGACCUGGACCAUCUCAGGGGCAUGGACCAUCUCAGGGCAAGGGCCAUCUCAGGGGCCUGGACCAUCUCAGAGGUCGGGACCAUCUCAGAGGCUGGGACCAUCUCAGGGGCCUGGACCAUCUUGGUGACCUGGACCAUCUCAGAGGCUGUGACCAUGUCAGGGGCCUGGACCAUCUCAGGAACUGGACCAUCUCAGGGACCUGGACCAUCUCAGGGCAAGGACCAUCUCAUGGGCCAGGACCAUCUCAGGGGCCUGGACCAUCUCAGGGGCCUGGACAUCUCAGGGGCCUGGACCAUCUCAGAGGCCAGGGCCAUCUCAGGAGCCUGGACCAUCUCAGCACCUGGACCAUCUCAGGACCUGGAUCAUCUCAGGACCUGGACCAUCUCAGGGGUCUGGACCAUCUCGGUGACCUGGACCAUCUCAGGGGCCUGGUCCAUCUCAGAGGCUGGGAACAUGUCAGAGGCCGGGACCAUCUCAGGGGCCGGGAUCAUCUCAGAGGCUGGGACCAUCUCAGGGGCCUGGACCAUCUUAGUGACCUGGACCAUCCAGGGACCUGGACCAUCUCAGGGGCCUGAACCAUCUCAGGGACUGGACUAUCUCAGGGACCUGGACCAUCUCAGUGACCUGGACCAUCUCAGGGGCAUGGACCAUCUCAGGGCAAGGGCCAUCUCAGGGGCCUGGACCAUCUCAGAGGUCGGGACCAUCUCAGAGGCUGGGACCAUCUCAGGGGCCUGGACCAUCUUGGUGACCUGGACCAUCUCAGGGGCCUGGUCCAUCUCAGAGGCUGGGAACAUGUCAGAGGCCGGGACCAUCUCAGGGGCCGGGAUCAUCUCAGGGGCUGGGACCAUCUCAAGAGCCUGGACCAUGUCAGAACCUGGAGC
RNAcentral lists this long non-coding RNA (1284 nucleotides) under Bos indicus x Bos taurus (hybrid cattle). RNAcentral describes it as "lncRNA (ENSBIXG00000004470.1)". Lineage: Eukaryota; Metazoa; Chordata; Mammalia; Artiodactyla; Bovidae. The record is from RNAcentral.